This 498-nucleotide ribosomal RNA is filed under the name uncultured bacterium. RNAcentral describes it as "partial 16S ribosomal RNA". It matches the Rfam family "Bacterial small subunit ribosomal RNA", at positions 30 to 523 of the family's 1533-position model. The record is from RNAcentral.
AUUGAACGCUGGCGGCAUGCCUUACACAUGCAAGUCGAACGGUAACGGGCCUUCGGGUGCCGACGAGUGGCGAACGGGUGAGUAAUGUAUCGGAACGUGCCCAGUAGUGGGGGAUAGCCCGGCGAAAGCCGGAUUAAUACCGCAUACGACCUACGGGUGAAAGGGGGGGAUCGCAAGACCUCUCGCUAUUGGAGCGGCCGAUAUCAGAUUAGGUAGUUGGUGGGGUAAAGGCCUACCAAGCCUGCGAUCUGUAGUUGGUCUGAGAGGACGACCAGCCACACUGGGACUGAGACACGGCCCAGACUCCUACGGGAGGCAGCAGUGGGGAAUUUUGGGCAAUGAGCGCAAGCCUGAUCCAGCAAUGCCGCGUGCAGGAAGAAGGCCUUCGGGUUGUAAACUGCUUUUGUCAGGGAAGAAAUCCUCUGGGUUAAUACCUCGGGGGGAUGACGGUACCUGAAGAAUAAGCACCGGCUAACUACGUGCCAGCCGCCGCCGUAA